UGAUUAAGGAGGGUAUUUCGGGGAGUGAGGCUGUGCGGAAGAUCACGCUGUGCCCUAUGGUGCUGUCAGCAGUGACAGUUCCCAGAUGGGGCCGCUACUGUAUGGCAGAUUGAGUUUCUCAGCAGAAAGCUCACCCUGCCUCCUAAACGUCUUCAAAACCUUCUCCAGAUACACCAGGUCGCUUCGUGUGAAACCGAAACAGUCCAGCCUCAGUGUUGGUUUUGGUGCUUUAUGUUAGGGGUGGGUUUUUUGUUUGGGGGGGGGGGUUGUUUGUUUUUCAGCCUUCUUUUUCUCGCCACUUCCUCCUCCUCUGAGCAUCUUCGACUGCAGGCCUACCCGGCUUCUAAAUGCGUAGAUGUGGCGGGCCUGGGGGGAUCCUGUGCGCCUCGCUCACGGCGCCACGCUGCCGAAGACUCAGAACCGAGGGUCCCCAAGGCAAUCCGGUUUCCACUUCCUCUUUACUGCUCGAGGAAUCUCACUUCCCAGGCUUCUCCCCAAGAAGCGCCUGGGCAUGAGAGGUCCACUGAGAAGGCCGGAAGCCCCGAGUUCCAACGCAACCCUAGGCGACCCGGGUUAGCCGGCGACCCGGGUUAGCCGCCGGCCCGGGUCGGAGCCGGCUCCAGCGGACGGACGGAACGGAGUACCGGGAGGAAGAAGUGAGCUCACCGGGCAAGGAAAGCAGGAGGCUCGGCCUGGCCGCCGCGGCCCUGGGCGCCGAGCUCUGAGGCGCAAAACCUGGAGGAGAAGCUGUGCGCCCAGGUCCUCCGCGGCCGCCCUCCGAAGAGGCCGCCCAGCCCGACUCCAGCCAUUCUCACAGCUCCCUCAGAAGGGGAGCGCCAGGCGCGACCUGCAGGUUCCGGCCUGGAAGACUGAGGCUGGAGUCCCAGGGUGCGCGCUGGCUGCGUUCUGGCCGAGGCGGCCUUCGAGUCGCCAGGCUUCCCAUCCUCCCUCCGCGUACGCGUUUCUUUCUGAGCCUCUCGCACCCGUGCAUGCUCUCUCUCUCUCUCUCUCUCUCUCUCUCUCUCUCUCUCUCUCUCUCUCUCUCUCAGGCUCUGGAAAAAACCAGGUCCUGCACCUGUAAUUUGCGAUUAGAAGUUUAUUUCCAUGUGAA
Heterocephalus glaber (naked mole-rat) is the source of this 1111-nucleotide non-coding RNA. NCBI's taxonomy places the organism in Eukaryota, Metazoa, Chordata, Mammalia, Rodentia, Bathyergidae. The record is from RefSeq and is a predicted model, not a curated record.